AGCGUUCAGAGCAACGGUUACUUCUUUCUGCAAAAAAGAAACGAGGGUGGGUUCGAAUCCCGCCGACGCCG
Molecule: transfer RNA, 71 nt
Filed under: Streptomyces phage JustBecause
Lineage: Duplodnaviria; Heunggongvirae; Uroviricota; Caudoviricetes
Description: tRNA-Cys
Source: RNAcentral